Echinicola vietnamensis DSM 17526 is the source of this 168-nucleotide non-coding RNA. Lineage: Bacteria; Pseudomonadati; Bacteroidota; Cytophagia; Cytophagales; Cyclobacteriaceae. The record is from Rfam.
UUUGGGGUGACCCAAAAUCUGAAAGAAGCCUAAAACAAAGCUUUGUCCUAAUGAAUAAGAACUGGAUAUAAGGCCUACUUGGAGGAUGAGGUGGCAAUAGACACCGAAGUCCGAAGUCCAAACGUAAUUCAAGGAGGUAAAUCCAGUAGUAUAAAGUAGGUGAUGUUU